Rattus norvegicus (Norway rat) is the source of this 420-nucleotide non-coding RNA. The record is from RefSeq and is a predicted model, not a curated record. NCBI's taxonomy places the organism in Eukaryota, Metazoa, Chordata, Mammalia, Rodentia, Muridae.
CUUGAGAGGCAGAGACAGGUGGAUCUUUGAGUUCAAGGCUAACUUGCUCUACAGAGUGAGUUCCAGCGCUACACAAGAAAUCCUCUUACUAAAAGAGAAACAAGGCUGGAAGGAUAUACAUGGAAGUCUAUAAUCCCAGAAUUUGGAUUUGAAGGAGGAUUAUGUGUUCAAGACCAUCUCCAAUCUGAACUACAAUAAAAUAGACAAGUUCUCAAAAACAUCAACUAUUACAGACAGCUGAGAUGGCUCAGCAGGGAAAGGUACUUGCAGCCAAGCUUGACAAGCUGAGCUUAAAUCCUCAAGAUCCAAAAGAUGGAAGGAGAGAGCUGACUCCCACAGCACCCCGACACCCAUGUGCACAUUAUAGUUUGCAUAUGCCGCCCACCCUCAUGCAAAUUUGAUAAAUAAGAUGUAACUGUG